CCUCGGCCUCCCAGAGUGCUAGGAUUACAGGCGUGAGCCACCACACCCGGCCAUUUUAGACUGUGGUGUCACAAAGGCAUUAUUGGGCAGAGCUUCCUCGUAAUUUAUAAAGAAUUGGCAGGAAAGUUUGCUUUGGAGGAGGCAGUCAGGGUAGACUUCCCUAAGGCGUUGCAUCCAGCAGGGAACACUGACUAGGAUAAGAUGAUGAAAAAUUAUUCUAAGACAAUAAGUAGCUGUUUUAAAAACACAAAUAGCUCAGAGGUAGUUAAAAUGAGAAUAGUGCCCUCUUCUCCCUCCCCUUAAAUGGGAUAAAUGAAUUCUAAUAAAGUAACUGUCACUCAGUGGCUAUUCCUGGGUAGUGACAACCUUCUCUGCCUAGGGCUCCUACCACUUCAGUUUGGCAGACACUUACCGCCCUGUCAGGGUAGGCUCUGAGUGAGGUUCUAUUUCCGGCCGGGCACACCCUGUCUCGAGCAGGAGUCUCCCAGUCCCAGUCGGGAUCUGCUGGUGCUGGUGCACGAGCUGCAGCUGUUGUCCAGCCUGGCCUAUUGUGCAGCUAAAAAGGCCGCCUUGGGUGGUGGACUUUUCCCCAUUUUUCUACCCCUCCAGAUAGGUUAGAUCUGCUGGCACGUUAAAAAUCAGCUGGGGCAGCUCAUUCCUGGAGAGGAACUGGUAGGUAGGUAGAUGUGAGAAUUAUAUUGAUUAUUUGGUGUGGAUCAAUAGUUUUGUUCUCUCUGGCUUUACAGAAAAACUCUUAAGAGUUUUAAAUGUUCUCAAAAUCCCUAAGGACCUGAGUCACCAGGGCAGACAUCUAAAUAAAAUACUAACUGCACACAUAUUUUAUAAACUGAAAAUGCUGGGGGUCACUGUGUCUUCUCCCCACCUGCUAGUGUUCUCUGUAGCUAUUUCUCUGCUGCUUUCCUCUCUCUCAGAAUAGGGGCAGUGUGGUGAGAGCUGGAAAGGACCCGAAGGUCCCCAGCCAGGAACAUGUAUGUAUGGCAGGAUCCUGACCCAUGAGUAACCCCAACCAGGCCCAGGGGUAGAUAGAUACUAGUGGAGAAGCGAUAACUGCUUUUUCUGAGCCCUGCCCAUUCACUUGUAAGAUAUGGUUCUCCUUUGGAGAAAUGUUCCUCUGACAUCAGGUUUCUGUGUGAAGGCUUGUGACACUGUGGUCCUCUCCGUCCCAUGACAGAGCACCCUGGGCCCUCUCUCUCCAGGCCAUGGCUCUAGCUUAGGCCUGUCCAGAUUGAAAGGCCCCCAUUUGAUGAUUUGAGGCCAGGCAGAAACUCACCUGGGUUUAGACAGAAACAGACACACUAUUCAAAUGGGGUGGACCACAGCUCACUCUCUGUGGUCACUCUGUAGUCACAGUUAACACUCUGGAGUCUCAGAUGGAGCCCUGGUGAUUCCUGUGGGUCUCCCUCAAAACUCACCCGGCUGGAGGCUGGAUGAGUGUGAGAAGAAAUGCUCAGCAAAAUUGAAAAUCUUCUGCCAGCUGAAAAAAAUGUUAGGUCUGGAAACCAAUGUUGAAUAAGAGGUGGGGUGGUCAAGACAUGUUUUAGGUCAAGGAAUUUGGCCGGUGCUAGGAUUGCAGGUGUGAGCCCAGCCUGAUUUAACUCUUAAAAGAGGUGAUUUGAGGUAAGGUGACCGUCCACCCAUUCUUGGGGUCUUUACUACUUUUGGAUUUCCAUCUCCUAGACCUGUACUGCUGAGGCUGUUUGAAACAUUCUGUCUAAAUAUAUUUUGUCUCCAUGGAGCCAGCAGGGAGGCUGCUGUUACCUGGUGACCUCCUCCCUGGGCAGCCGCAGAGCCGCCGGCGCCAGGCCGCCUUCUCCUGAUCUGUGGGGGAGCAGGCGUGGAGCAGGCGCAGCGGCGCAGCCCGGCAGUGGUCCGGCAGCUAAGGCAGGCAUGUUUACGGCCUUGUGUCCGUCCAGCCUCUGCUGAGGUUGGAGCAGGGACUUUUAUCCUGCUGGGUAAAUAUGGAAGUGUGGCGCCCCUCCCCCGAGCGUCUCCAGUGCAGCCUGUAGGUGGGUGGCGGAGCUGGAAUCCAGAUCUCCCAUCCGUUGGGCUGGGCAGUGUUGCGGCCUCUGUGGUCUCCGCUGACCAGGGAGAAAGAAACGAGGUCACCUGGACCGCCUCAUUGUCAUUUGGCUGUUUAUAAUCUUUGACAGGUGCCUUUGAGUUAUCUAUUAGGGACCAAUCUAGAAGGAUUUCUUAGUACCAACCCUAGUACUAGAAAUUGUUUUGUGGCUGUGUGUAGAGAAGAGAGAGAGGCUGUGGCAGCUCAGAACAGGAGUGGGACUCACCCUAAUUAAAAUGCUCUGAGUCAGGCGUUUCUUGGCUUGCUGGAGUGUGCCACCCACAUUUCCCCGAAGCCAUGGGGCCUGGCGCAGUCUUAAGAUGGCCUUUCUUCCCAGAGCACUCGGGGAGCACCGUGCUCCUGGCUUUGGGAGAGUCUGGAAUGUGCAGAGCCAGUUCUUCCCGGGCCUGGGCACACCCAGAAAAUCAGGAGCAGGGACAGAAGAGCAGCUCAGCUGGUGCAGAGUGUGGCCUGGAAGCAUGCUUUCAGACGGAGGCCUCAGAGGUCACGGACUUUAGGGAAAUCAUGACAUUUAAAAAAAAAUUGCUUUAAGUCCUAAUCCCUCUCUUCAUUCUCAGCUGAUCUUGCUUAUUGUUAAAUUUUCUUCUGUUGAGACUUUUUUGGUCUUCCCACCAUCAAGCAUACUGACCCACCUGCGCCUGGGCGUCCACCUGUGGCCACCCUCCCUGGGGCAGUGCAGCCCGUCCUGUCUUUCCAGUUCCCUGACUUUGCUCCUUAGCUCCACCCAUUUUCCUGCCUCCCUUUUGGCAAAACUGGUCACAGGGGUUUUCUGUGUUUGCUGUCUCCUUCCUUCUUUCCUUCCCUCCCCCCUCUCUCCUUUUCCCUCCUUUUUUCUUCUUGCUCUCCGUCUCCCCUACCCUUUU
Non-coding RNA from Microcebus murinus (gray mouse lemur), 2964 nucleotides. The record is from RefSeq and is a predicted model, not a curated record. Lineage: Eukaryota; Metazoa; Chordata; Mammalia; Primates; Cheirogaleidae.